GUGGGGAAUCUUGCGCAAUGGGCGAAAGCCUGACGCAGCCAUGCCGCGUGAAUGAUGAAGGUCUUAGGAUUGUAAAAUUCUUUCACCGGGGACGAUAAUGACGGUACCCGGAGAAGAAGCUCCGGCUAACUUCGUGCCAGCAGCCGCGGUAAUACGAAGGGGGCUAGCGUUGCUCGGAAUUACUGGGCGUAAAGGGCGCGUAGGCGGACAGCUUAGUCAGAGGUGAAAGCCCAGGGCUCAACCUUGGAAUUGCCUUUGAUACUGGCUGUCUUGAGUACGGGGGAGGUGAGUGGAACUCCGAGUGUAGAGGUGAAAUUCGUAGAUAUUCGGAAGAACACCAGUGGCGAAGGCGACUCACUGGCCCGUUACUGACGCUGAGGCGCGAAAGCGUGGGGAGCAAACAGGAUUAGAAACCCCUGUAGUCC
This 425-nucleotide ribosomal RNA is filed under the name uncultured bacterium. RNAcentral's name for it is "partial 16S ribosomal RNA". It matches the Rfam family "Bacterial small subunit ribosomal RNA", at positions 354 to 796 of the family's 1533-position model. The record is from RNAcentral.